UAAGUAAUGAGGAAAGCAGAGCCAGGGUACCAUCCUAAAGCAGGAGUCAGCAGACCACAGCCUGUGAACCACAUCUAGCCCAGCGCCUGCUGUGUGUGUGCUACCCAUGAGGCGCUAUUCCAGGCAACCAGGAUACAAAGAAGAAGAAAGACAAAUGAACCAGACCUGCACCUGCCCAUAAAGAGCACUUGGCCCACAGAGGGGGACAGAAGAGUACAUCAGUCCCCGGGGACAAGUGUGACCAGACCCGUGCUGGGCUAUGACAGGGAGCAGACAUGCUCCCAUUCUCCUUUCCACAGCUCGGGUCUUGCUCCUUCCUGAAUGCACCAGGCAUCCUGCUGGGUCUGCCCCAAGCCCUGGAGCUGGCCUGAAUGGAGAAUAAUAUCGACACGGGCAUUUCUCCAACGCACUGGCACGAGGCUGUGUCUGGAAAACUACACAGCACAAAUCAGCCAGGGUGCAAGCCCCUGUGAGAACCUGGGCAGGGGAAUAGCUUGGCACUUCCACAUGCUAAACAGCAAAACAACAAAUUCACAGCAAGGGAGAUUGAUGCCAAAAUAAACCUGUCAGA
Molecule: long non-coding RNA, 571 nt
Organism: Otolemur garnettii (small-eared galago)
Lineage: Eukaryota; Metazoa; Chordata; Mammalia; Primates; Galagidae
Exons: 3
Source: RefSeq, a predicted model, not a curated record